Molecule: non-coding RNA, 112 nt
Organism: Arenibacter sp.
Lineage: Bacteria; Pseudomonadati; Bacteroidota; Flavobacteriia; Flavobacteriales; Flavobacteriaceae
Source: Rfam
GUCCUUGAAAUGGGGUGCUUGCCAAUAUGGGCAGGCUGAGAUGAUACCCAGGAGUUUUAACUCUGAACCUGAUCCGGAUAAUGCCGGCGUAGGGAUUUUAGUUCGAUGUUGC